UGGAAGGGACUGAGGAGGAAAGGCAGAAACAGAGAAACAUUGAUGUGAGAGAGACACAUCGAUUGAUUGCCUACCACACGCACUCUGACCAGGGGCGGGGAGCAAGCCCAUAACCCAGGUAACUGGCUAAAUUACAUUCCCCAGCCUCCUUAAAGCUAAAUGUUGACAUCUUGGGCAACCUUGCAAGAGAGAUUUUGAAGAUGGUGACAUUUCUAUAAACCAUGGUUACAUUGAGAAGAUCCCCCAACCCUAUACAACCACCUAUUGAACUUUACAUGAGCAAGAAAUCAGUCACCGUGCCCAGGAGUUCAAGUCCUACUUCCCAGCUCUUGUACCACUUCCCAACUCUUGUCUGUUAGGAACAAGAGUAGUCAGAACCAGGGACCUGAUGAAUCCCUGGAGCCAAGAGGGGAGCCAGGCCGCUGAUA
Molecule: long non-coding RNA, 428 nt
Organism: Myotis brandtii (Brandt's bat)
Lineage: Eukaryota; Metazoa; Chordata; Mammalia; Chiroptera; Vespertilionidae
Exons: 4
Source: RefSeq, a predicted model, not a curated record